Molecule: long non-coding RNA, 1057 nt
Filed under: Drosophila guanche
Lineage: Eukaryota; Metazoa; Arthropoda; Insecta; Diptera; Drosophilidae
Source: RNAcentral
GUUUCUUUCUACCUAACUAGACAAUGGAAGUUUAUCUAUGGAAUUUCCAUAUCCAUACGAAAACACUCAUGCGAAUAUGUUCGUAUAUUUCUUUUUUUUUUCGGGCUUUUGGCUCCACCUAAACUUUUGCUUACUCCAUGUGGCUGUAGGAAAAUCAGAUUUCAUCCACGCCGAGGCCUAAGCGAGGGGCUGGCCCAUCGUUUAGCUUAAAUUGCAAGUCUGUCAAUAUUUGCCAGCGAAUGAGGCAAACCAGAAGCAAGAGCAAUUUUCGGUGUUUUCGUUGAAAAAUAGCCUAACAAAUUGAAAUUAAUCUAAAGCGAUUAAAAUAUUGACACUAAUUGAAAAAACGGCAAACAGAACUGGUGUUUGUUUUCAUCGAAUUGAACUCGAUAAGGAAUGAAUUACGGUGCAAGCAUCUUGUGACUUUAAGGACCAGCCCUGCGCAACUUUAAGUUGGACUCGUGUGGAUGAAUCGAUGGGUGGGCAACUGGGGGACAGCUAGUGAGAUUUAUAAGAAGUGAAAUUAAUGUGGCAGCGCGUCGCGAAACGCAAAACGGGCAAAAAAUAAGACACAGGAAAGUUGGGACAGGGCCCGGCCAGCGGCAACACAAAAAAAUCUGCACUGCGAUGAUUGCCAAGGGCGAGAGUCGCGGCACGAGGAGUAGGAGCAGGCCCGUUGGCGGCUUUUUCGCCAUCUUCAGCCAAAUGCGAAUCGAAUUUAUUUUAUUUAGAGCUCCAACAUCGUCGUCCUCGUGCCAUACAUACAUAUACAUAUAAAGUGUGGGAGAAGGGGAAACUUUUCGCGCUUAGUUGCCUUCCAAAAGCACAAAAACACUUUGCCCACUUUCUUAGAUUUCUUUAUAUCGUACGCUUUUCCAUGGCUGAAGAUAUUUUCAAAGUUUUUCCCUCUCCACGCGUCUUUUGGUUCUUCCUAGUGCUGGUCCUGCCAACUUAUCGCAUUGUGAGGGCCAAAAAUUCCGGAAAUUGAAAUGAAGCAGCAGCCGCCAAAGGAGCUGUCUCCAGCCGGGCAGACUAGUGACUCAUUGUUAGAGUUCCA